UCGAGGUGCUGGAGCCAAUUGUACCUUCAGAGACUAUUUGAAAUGUCAUUUUUGUCUCGGUACGAUGAUCAUCACGCUGCAGUACUAAAUUAAUGAUCGGGAAAGUUUCCAGUAUGAAUCCCUUAAGCACAGAGUACUGUUGUUUCUUAAAGGCCUUGAAAGAUGGAGGAUAAAGAGGAAGACAUGGGACUAUUGAGUGGGGAGGAUUUCAAUGAAGUCGAGCCGGACAAGGACUGUACCAGAUUUGAUGCAUUGACAGAGGCUUGCUCUGCCAUGUUUUAAAAGCUCAAAAAAGAGAAGGGAAAAAAAAGGGCAACAGAAAAUUGGAGAAGCCAGUUGUAGCUCUUGAGAAGAAACAGCCUAUUGAAACCGGAACAGGAGGUUAAAGCUCGAACGUUCUUCAGGUCUCAAGAAAACCGAGGAAUCAGCCGAAGAAGGCUAAACCUUCCUCCUCCAAUGCCCAAGAGGAACAUAAUCCAUUUCCAAGGUUCCUGGGACAUCUGGUCAGAAAGAGAGUGGUCACCUGGUCGAGGAACCAGGCAAAGAUGGAUAUAGAAAAGGACCAACACCAGGGUGUCCUGCUCCAAGGUCUGAGGGAUCAUUCCUGACAUGCCUCUCGGACUCAUGGCUCACAUGAAAGUUCAUCUUUGAGUAGAGCCUCUAUGAAAGCGACGCAACUGAUAACGAUAAUGGCUCCCGAUUCCAAGGAAGCGGGUCAGGGAGUUGUCCUUGUUCCUGACGACGAGGAGGAUCUGAGGUCACAACAGCAUAAGGGACAACAAGCGCAAGGAGGAGAUCAUAGUGACCCUGGUCGACCCAGUAUUCUUGACAGCCCAUCUUUGUCUCAGUAGACUCUUUCAGUGGCAUGUUUCGGCCCUCUUCUCCAUUACUUAGAAAAAGUGAGCCACCGAUUCAGUUGAAUUCCUCGUCGUUGAAAGAGUGCCCAAUAAGCUUUAGGAGGGGGGACACGCCGAAGCCGAACAAGCCUGCAUCUGUGAACUUCAUUCUGGCAGGUUCAUGGUAUAAAAUGGCGAGGCCAUAAUCUAAAUUUCGCCUCGACAGUCUUGAUCAGGCAGACCCCGGCAAAUUGGUUAGAGGAGGGCCCCAUCGCUCAGCGAGAGGAGUGCAAUCGCCGAACAAGAUGACCGCAAGCACCGGGACAUGCGAUUCGUUAUUUAAUGGUACCAAUGACCGG
Molecule: non-coding RNA, 1195 nt
Organism: Punica granatum (pomegranate)
Lineage: Eukaryota; Viridiplantae; Streptophyta; Magnoliopsida; Myrtales; Lythraceae
Source: RefSeq, a predicted model, not a curated record